GACGAACGCUGGCGGCGUGCUUAACACAUGCAAGUCGAACGGUGAACGAGGGAGCUUGUUCCCUCCGGAUCAGUGGCGAACGGGUGAGUAACACGUGAGCAAUCUGCCCCGAACUCUGGGAUAAGCGUUGGAAACGACGUCUAAUACCGGAUAAGACCCGUGAACGCAUCCUCUCCGCGUGGAAAGAACUUCGGAUGAGCUUGAGGGCGAGGCCUAUCAGCUUGUUGGUGAGGUUACGGCGCACCAAGGCGACGACGGGUAGCCGGCCUGAGAGUGUGACCGGCCACACUGGGACUGAGACGCGACCCGUAGUGCUACGUGGGGCAGCAGUGAGGGAUAUAGCGAGAUGGGCGGAAGCAGUAUGCAGCAACGCCGCGUGGGGGACGACGGCCGGCGGGGUGUAAACCUCGUUUAGCAGGGAAGAAGCGAAAGUGACGGUACCUGCAGAAAAAGCACCGGCUAACUACGUG
This 470-nucleotide ribosomal RNA is filed under the name uncultured bacterium. RNAcentral describes it as "partial 16S ribosomal RNA". It matches the Rfam family "Bacterial small subunit ribosomal RNA", at positions 28 to 507 of the family's 1533-position model. The record is from RNAcentral.